ACAGAGGGGGCAAGCGUUAUUCGGAAUUAUUGGGCGUAAAGGGCGCGUAGGCGGUGUCUUAAGUGAGACGUGUAAUCCCCGAGCUUAACUUGGGAACUGCAUCUCAGACUGGGGCGCUAGAGUACUGGAGAGGGUGGUAGAAUUCCACGUGUAGCGGUGAAAUGCGUAGAGAUGUGGAGGAAUACCAGUGGCGAAGGCGGCCACCUGGACAGUAACUGACGCUGAGGCGCGAAAGUGUGGGGAGCAAACAG
Molecule: ribosomal RNA, 251 nt
Filed under: uncultured prokaryote
Description: partial 16S rRNA
Rfam family: Bacterial small subunit ribosomal RNA
Source: RNAcentral